Molecule: unclassified non-coding RNA, 74 nt
Filed under: Sarcina sp. DSM 11001
Lineage: Bacteria; Bacillati; Bacillota; Clostridia; Eubacteriales; Clostridiaceae
Source: RNAcentral
UAGCGCCGGAUACGUGAACCGUACGUCCGGUGCAAUGGGAGGGGCGGAGCCAUUCAGCUCCCCUCUACCCUAAU